AGGUAUUGAAAGGAUUCUGCAAAGACUCUGUCAAGUUCCCAGUAUAUUACACAUAAGUCAAUUAAUAAUUCUUCCUGCCCCCCUAUGUUACGUCUUCAUGAACUCUCUGGUGUUCCUCAGGCAGUGGACAUGUGUCCUGGUCCCAUUUCCUGUUUGUUGUCCUAGGAUCUGCAGUGAGCAUUUUUGUAUGUGAGUAAUUCUCUCUUUUUGUAUACUUUUGUUUUUAACAUUAUUGCUGUUACUAUUCAUUGUCUUAUCUCAUUGCUGUUUCCAGUAAAUUGUUCCUAUCUCAACUCAUGAUCUUCACCUUUUGUGCCUCCAAUUCUCCUCUCUGGCCACCUGUGUUGGGUGGGAAUUGAAGAAGGGGAAGGGGGAGGGAGAGAGUAGAUGUUUGGUUUGGAAAAUCUCAGUAGGAGAACUAAAUUGGGAAGUACCAUUCCUAAAUUAUGACACUUUGCAAAGAAAAACAUUAUUUUAAAGGUAUUUAAACUGUAUUUGAAAAUUCCAAGGAAAGUCACAUUUUUUAGAAUGCCUAUGGAACAGUUACUCUGUAGGAUUAAGAACACACCAAUCAGACAUGAACUGUUAUACUGAGCUUUGUAUUUCCUCUUAACCUUGACUGGGUUCCUUUGCAAUUCCUCAGUGAUUAAAUUUAUUUCAUAUUUGCAUAAAAUUAGUAGAAAAUCCAACACUGUUUCUACUUUGCCUUUCUUUGCAAUUUUUGAAAUACAAAAUAUUUUAAAUCUUGGUUAUUUGUAAAUGAUUUUAAAAAUAAAAUUAGUAUUGCCUGGCAAGUUGAUUGUGAAAAGUCAAGUGUUCAAUAAAGGGUUUAACUAAUCCAAGAGAAACUAAUCAGGCUGCAAUAAAGUUUUCAAAUGCCCACAGAAAAGGGGAGAAAAACUCUGAGAUACUUGCUGUCAAAACAAUUGAGUUUUUCUGAAAGUUCACUGAAAAUUAAUCAUCCUACAUGUACCAUAUAUACUAAUGCUUUUCUUCUCUUGCCCUCAUGUAUGUCUAUGCUAUCCUCAUGAAAUCCAUGCGCUGAGACACUUGUCCUUGGAUCACUAAUCAUGUCAUCAGUAACAGUGGGAGAACAGUCAGAAUUUCCCUCAAAGUCUGCAUGGUUACAUUGAGCUCAUUAAGAUAAAGCCUUGAAAGGCCUUCAAGCAGAACUUCUUGCCUCAAAGCCAUGUACAGCAGUUCUCCAAAGAGGAGCCUGCACAGCAGCAAGCAGCUGAGAAUUGGCAGGAAGGAUUCCUAUGGAUAAUUCACUGAGAUGUGAUGGUGCUUGUUUUAAAAUCUGGACGGAUUUAAAAUGUGGAAGACAGAUUCGAGGGGAACAGAGGAGGACCAUGAGAUGUGGCCCAACAAGAAACCUGCCAUGUGGUGUGGAAUCUCCUGUUUUUUCUGCAGCAUACACGUUAUAGUUUCUUCUUGUCAUCUGUAAACCUCUCAGAAUGGCUGCCAGCAGGGAAAAACACAAACAACAAGGUUCUGGUUUUCUACUUCCUUGCACUGCCCCUGUUCAGAGAUUGCGCCUGAGUGGUCAAUGAAGAAAUGUUCAGAGUCCUGGGGCUGUCUCUGUUCUUUCUUCAAUCAGUUUGCUAUCUCAUCUGCAAGUCUAUUUUAAAGAAUCACAGAAUAUCUUGAGUUGGAAUCACAACAAUCAUCAGGUCCAACUUUUGGGUUUCUUUACACUAGGAAUCUCAGAAUGCUUCAUGUACUUCUCUAUUUACUGAUAGAUUUAAAGGAAGAUGGGGCAAGAGGGUUCAAUUGGGAUUUCAAGGACGUUUGAAGUCUGUCCCUACUGCUGCUAUGGAUCUUGCGCAGUAGCCCAGGGAUAAUGCUGGCAAGGCAAGGCAAGGCAAGGCAGGGCAGGGCAGGGCAGGGCAAGGCAAGGCAAGCUCUUAUUCUCUGCUUUAUCUCAAUGCCCACUGCUGCUGUUAUUUGUUCUUUAAAAAAAAAAAAGGAUUUUACCCACACCAAAAUGAACUUUCUGCCUGAACCUUGUUAUGAUCCAUGUCAUAUGAUACUUCCUAGCACUAGGAAGGACUGGAAAAGUCUCCUAUUUCCUUUUCCUCUGUCCACAGCUCUGUUUCAUGGUCUUCCUUAACAAUUUUCUCGCCACCUGCAGUUUCACUAUUUCAAGGAAAAUAAUUAAUGCCUCUGGUCAAAAAUGUAAAGUUCUCCUUCUUACUCUUUUCUGACUUCAUAUUUUCUCCACGUUCCCUGUAUUGUUCAAAGAGUAAUGUCAGAAAGAUGUUCAGGGUUGAUUCUGCUGUUUCCUAGCUGUCUAAGCCAACACAAUAGAGUUAAGUCCUGUGAACCAUUCAGCAUCAUUGCUGUCUGAGUAUGUGUAUAGGAAACCUGUGUAAGGAGGCUGCUUCAUGAGUGGAUACCUUUAUAAAUACACAUAUGGCAAAGCCCUGUCCUUCAAGAAAGCCCUCUGCCACACAGCAUCUCAUUUUGUUUCAGAAAGAAAACAUAAGAGAGAAAACCAAGUUGUUAGCUGACCAUUUCCCUUUCGUUUGGGAAAACUCAAAUGUUUAAUUGUAUGAAACAUAUUUGAUGUACACUGGAGUGAGACAGAGAUGGUGACUCAGGCAUUUAAUCAUUUUUUUCAUGCUGUUCUGAAGCAUAAGAAAAUAGGUUUUAAAAAAAAUCAUAAUACUUUAAAAAUAUUCUUGUAAAUAAAUAAAGUUUUAAAAUCUAGAAAGCGGAAGAGCAAACAUUAAAAGAAAUGUAAAGCAGAACUUAAAUGUAUUGUGUAUAAUGGAAUAAUGAACAUUUUCCUAAGCCUAUACUAAAAAUCAAAAUGAGCUAAGAAGUGAUUUGUUGUCUGGUGGUUUUGUGGACCUGUUCAGCAUUUGUGUCAGAAGAGAAUUCAACUGAUGAAGUGCAACAUAAGCAUUAAGCAUUACUUAUUAAGUGGAAUUUUUCCAAACCUAGUAAAACAGAAUCUGCAUAUUAAGGAGUUUAGUUUAAAGUUAGAAAUAUUCAAGCAUGGAAAAAGUACCACUUCAGCUAUUUUUACUUACAAUAAUUUUUCUUUCUCAGAAUUGUUAUUUGAACAUUGCUUAUAGAUCUCUAAUGCUACACUAAAAGUUCAUAUGUUUAACUAGUGAUGUCAUAAUGAGUUUUCCGUGAAAAGUUGAGUAUAUCAGUGUAUAUGUAGGUUUUAAACUCCUGAGUUAAUCUAGUCAGAUCUUUUGUAAAGAAAGAGUCAUGUCAUCCAGUCUUUUCUUUACAGAAAACAAAUACCUAUGCUUAAUAUAGACAACAUUACUACUUCAUUGAGAUAAGGCACAGAAAUAGAAUGAUUCGAAUCACUAAGAAUACACUGGGAAAAGAUGUCAGAAUGCCACAUUAGCAAAGAGGGAUGGUGGAAUUAUUGCUUGUAGUUCUCUAUAUAUUCUUUUGCAUACCAUCCUGCUCAGAUAAUCCUACCUCCAUUGUUUACAGUGCUAGUAGUUGCAAUAUCUGUGCUGCAUCACAUCUUCUGCAUAUUCAUAGGCCUGGAAAUCCUUUUCAAUCAUUGGAAGGACUGAGAGGACAUAAGAAGUGUUUUCCUACUGCUCAGGGUACAUAGCCAUUAUUUACAGUUUCUUUGGUAUGAUAUAGCUGCUUUUUAAAAACCAUGAAGAAUUUAUUCAAAUGAGCUGUAGAAAACAAGAGCACAUGUAAAUCUCAGCCCGAGAUGUGUUAGUUGCUAUUGAGGGACUCAAAGUAAAGUGGAUUAGGAAGAAAUUAGUAGUAAACAUGUGCCCAGGGCCUGAAAACCUUCAAAUUUAAGGACAUAUUUAGGGAUUUUUGCGUACAUUAACAGCAGAAAAAGAAGAAGAUAGUUUUCAACAAUACCCAGAAUGUCUUAGAUGUGAUUGUUCAAAGGUCUGCAUUAUCCUUGAUGAAAACCAUUAGUUUGAAUGCCUUCCCAUUUUAUCAGGACAGAUUUAGUCCCUGUCAGAAGGCAACCUGAACAUCUGGGAUUGGCAACAGGCAAGAUUUGGAUGAAGAGCUUCCUUUGCUCCUAUGGGAAAUAUGCUGACCCCUGGCAUGCCUUGCCAUCACAGGGAGAAAACAUGAUGUUUUUAAUGUUAUUAUUCCUCUGAUGUGGCAAACUACUUCAGUCACUGGAAUUCAGAGGUCUUAGCCAUGGUUGAGAGGUGGUUUGGAUGAUAAAGCUGGUGCUGUCUACUGUGAAAGUACUUCAAAUAGGAACAUUCUUUUAAACUCCCUAGGCCUGAUCCAAUUUUAAAGAGGAGAAGGAGAAGUUUUUCCAUGGCUGCACUGGGAGCAAGAUCAAUACUCUUCUCCCUGCAGACCUUUCAAUUUUUUUUGUUUCCUUCAAGAUUUUUCCCCCGCCACACUUUCCUUUAUUCUAAGUUGCAUAUAAAAGUAAAUUUUGGGAUCCUUCAGUGAAAAAAUCUUAGAACUACACAAAGAAAAUCUGGCUCUAAUGUUCAUUUAUCCCUAUAGAUGAAAAGCUUCAUUUAUAAUCAGGGAGCAAUUUGUAUGUGUAAGGAAAUUCAGGAGCUGAAGGUUAUGCUGGUAGAGGGGCUACUUUCCAUUCAGGUCUACUGCACUCUUUUUCUAAUCAAUUGUUCUAGCCUUUAAUCAAUCUUUUUUUUAUUUUUUAUUUAGUUGACAGUGACUGCAAUCCUUUUGCUCUUUGCUCUGCUGCAGUUGUAGCUUGCACAAGUCUGAUUGUACUUAGAGUGGGCCCAUUCAUUUUUUUUCCCGGAGUGCAAGGCCUUAUCCAAAGCCCUUAAGUUUUCUUUAAAUUCUCUCAUUGAGUAUUAUAUUGGAGUUAGAAACACAGGGGCAUGAGUUUCAUGGCCAGAAGAUAAUUUGUUUAAUUAAAGAAAAAAAAAAAAAAGGAAAUACCAACCAUUUGUGCUGCUGCAUCUGCUAGCUAUGGAUUUGAGUAUAUCUAAUAUUUAAAUUAGUUGUGAAAAUGAGACUAAUGAAUUUUAAGUAUUAAUCUGUUACUAAAACCUCACAAUUCUCAGGAGAAAAUGUACCAUUCUGCUUCUUAUGUUGUUAAAGAAAGUAGGUAAAAUGCAGUAUUGCAAUUGUUAUGAUUUAAAAAUAGAGUAAUUUAUUUUAUCCUGACUUUGAAAAUGACUGAAGCAGCAUUUGGCUAUACCAUGGGGGAGUGCUGUGCAUCUUUAUCAGUUUGUUAACAUUAAAGCCCUUCUGACAAAUAUCUAAGUGUCUUGCAUAGCAUAUUGAAAUUCUGCUCUUCUGAGUUAUACUUGAACUUAUUGUCCAGCAUCUAUGGCUUUCAAAGCUGUUAAGUCUCAAAAUUGAUGAUUGUAAUGCUGAGCUCUUGUACUCUUCAUAAAAAGUGUCUCUUCAGUCCAUUGAUAAAGAACAUGAAACAGUGAGAGGCUAAAUGAUUUAUCUACCCCCUAUCACCUGAGAAAUCACUAGCAAAACCUUAAAGAAAAGAGGCUCAAGUCACUUUUUCUAACCACCAUACUUCACUUGACUCCUUGCCUCUGUAGCCAUCCAUCACUGUGUCAAAUUUGUAUCAGUAUGGUAAGGAAUAUUUGAAAACACAAAAAACCCAUUCAAAAUAAAUAUUGGAAAUGAGUUCUGUGGCUUUGCCAGACUGUUUUUCCAACAUUUCAUUUUUGUUAGUGAAGUCAUAGGUUAUUUACAUCAAGAAAAUACUGCUCCUGUGGAUUUUUUCCCCAGCUGUUUUUCUCCUCUUGUGUAACAUACUUUCUCUGCUUUUGAUAUUAAACUUUUCAUGGGAGCAAAUUUAGAAGUUCUCACCUUUGUUGUCUGACAGGUUAAAAUAGCAGUUAAUGUCCUCCAGUAUGGUACCCACGCAGAAUUAUAUUCUGGGGGUGUUUACUUUCUAUCAAGUUUAAAAGAGGAUAAAACUCAUCUUGAUUUUGAGUUUUACAGCAGAAGUUAUCUGUGGUUAUGUCUCCUUUCCAGCUUUUCUUUCCUUUCCUCUCCUAACUUGAUGUUCUUUCCUCUGAGAGACUUGAUCUCAGUAUUUAUCUCUGUGUGGGCUGCCUUUCCAAAAUUGCAUUUUAGUAAAGCUCUUGUAUUUUCCCAGCUGGUGUUAUUGCUCCAGGUGUUUCUGAGCAAAGGAGAAAACAUUAACAUGCAGGGUUCCUUGCUUUAAGCCCUGCUAUCCCUGUUCCAGAGUCUUCAAGAAAGCCAGAAGCUGUGCAUCUUCUCUGGAGAGGGCAACUGUGACCAGGUUUAAAGACAGAGACAGGCAUUUUGCAGGACUUUCAAGGACCUGGUAUGAGUUACAGAACUCUGCACUGACUCUGAAGCUCCCAUAAAAUCCACUGCCAGCAUUUUGUACAAGAUCUUUUUUAAUACAGAGGAGGCCUUACGUGUGGUGUUACACGAU
Motacilla alba alba is the source of this 6379-nucleotide long non-coding RNA. RefSeq lists it as uncharacterized. The record is from RefSeq and is a predicted model, not a curated record. The transcript has 5 exons. Lineage: Eukaryota; Metazoa; Chordata; Aves; Passeriformes; Motacillidae.